AACAGGAUUAGAUACCCUGGUAGUCCACGCCCUAAACGAUGUCUACUAGUUGUUGGUGGAGUAAAAUCCAUGAGUAACGCAGCUAACGCGUGAAGUAGACCGCCUGGGGAGUACGGUCGCAAGAUUAAAACUCAAAUGAAUUGACGGGGGCCCGCACAAGCGGUGGAUUAUGUGGAUUAAUUCGAUGCAACGCGAAAAACCUUACCUGGCCUUGACAUGUAACGAACUUUCCAGAGAUGGAUUGGUGCUCGAAAGAGAACGUUAACACAGGUGCUGCAUGGCUGUCGUCAGCUCGUGUCGUGAGAUGUUGGGUUAAGUCCCGCAACGAGCGCAACCCUUGCCAAUAAUUGCCAUCAUUUAGUUGGGCACUUUAUUGGGACUGCCGAUGACAAAUCGGAGGAAGGUGGGGAUGACGUCAAGUCCUCAUGGCCCUUAUGGCCAGGGCUUCACACGUAAUACAAUGGUCGGUACAGAGGGUUGCCAAGCCGCAAGGUGGAGCCAAUCCCAGAAAGCCGAUCGUAGUCCGGAUUGAGGUCUGCAACUCGACCUCAUGAAGUCGGAAUCGCUAGUAAUCGCGGAUCAGCAUGUCGCGGUGAAUACGUUCCCGGGCCUUGUACAAACCGCCCGUCACACCAUGGGAGUGGGUUUUACCAGAAGUAGGUAGUCUAACCGCAAGGAGGACGCUUACCACGGUAGUAUUCAUGACUGGGGUGAAGUCGUAACAAGGUAACC
This 732-nucleotide ribosomal RNA is filed under the name uncultured bacterium. RNAcentral's name for it is "bacterial SSU rRNA". It matches the Rfam family "Bacterial small subunit ribosomal RNA", at positions 771 to 1501 of the family's 1533-position model. The record is from RNAcentral.